RNAcentral lists this ribosomal RNA (494 nucleotides) under uncultured Actinomycetes bacterium. RNAcentral's name for it is "bacterial SSU rRNA". It matches the Rfam family "Bacterial small subunit ribosomal RNA", at positions 355 to 865 of the family's 1533-position model. Lineage: Bacteria; Bacillati; Actinomycetota; Actinomycetes. The record is from RNAcentral.
UGGGGAAUAUUGCACAAUGGGCGAAAGCCUGAUGCAGCAACGCCGCGUGCGGGAAGAAGGCCCUAGGGUUGUAAACCGCUUUCAGCAGGGAAGAAAAUGACGGUACCUGCAGAAGAGGGUGCGGCAACUACGUGCCAGCAGCCGCGGUGACACGUAGGCACCAAGCGUUGUCCGGAUUUAUUGGGCGUAAAGAGCUCGUAGGCGGUUCAGUAAGUCGGGUGUGAAAACUCUGGGCUCAACCCAGAGACGCCACCCGAUACUGCUGUGACUUGAGUACGGUAGGGGAGCGGGGAAUUCCUGGUGUAGCGGUGAAAUGCGCAGAUAUCAGGAGGAACACCAGUGGCGAAGGCGCCGCUCUGGGCCGAAACUGACGCUGAGGAGCGAAAGCGUGGGUAGCAAACAGGAUUAGAUACCCUGGUAGUCCACGCCGUAAACGUUGGGCACUAGGUGUGGGUCUCAACCAACGAGAUCCGCGCCGUCGCUAACGCAUUAGU